AUUGAACGCUGGCGGCAUGCCUUACACAUGCAAGUCGAACGGCAGCACGGGAGCAAUCCUGGUGGCGAGUGGCGAACGGGUGAGUAAUAUAUCGGAACGUGCCCAGUCGUGGGGAUAACGUAGCGAAAGCUACGCUAAUACCGCAUACGAUCUAUGGAUGAAAGCGGGGGAUCGCAAGACCUCGCGCGAUUGGAGCGGCCGAUAUCAGAUUAGGUAGUUGGUGAGGUAAAGGCUCACCAAGCCGACGAUCUGUAGCUGGUCUGAGAGGACGACCAGCCACACUGGGACUGAGACACGGCCCAGACUCCUACGGGAGGCAGCAGUGGGGAAUUUUGGACAAUGGGCGCAAGCCUGAUCCAGCAAUGCNCGUGCAGGAUGAA
Molecule: ribosomal RNA, 380 nt
Filed under: uncultured bacterium
Lineage: Bacteria
Description: bacterial SSU rRNA
Rfam family: Bacterial small subunit ribosomal RNA
Source: RNAcentral